CCCGUCACGCCAUGGAAGCUGUGAGAGCCCGAAGUCCGUGUCGCAACCCUCACGGGAGCAAGCGGCCGAAGGCGAGCGCAGUGACUGGGGCG
RNAcentral lists this ribosomal RNA (92 nucleotides) under uncultured bacterium. RNAcentral's name for it is "partial 16S ribosomal RNA". The record is from RNAcentral.